AGUUCGAAUUGAAGGCUGAAAUUCGCCUUCAUGAAGUCGGAAUUGCUAGUAAUGGCAGGUCAGCAUACUGCCGUGAAUACGUUCCCGGGCCUUGUACACACCGCCCGUCACACCAUGAGAGUUGGGAAUACCCGAAGCCUGUGAGCUAACUUAUAGAGGCAGCAGUCGAAGGUAGAAUCAAUGAUUGGGGUGAAGUCGUAACAAGGUAGC
Molecule: ribosomal RNA, 210 nt
Filed under: uncultured bacterium
Lineage: Bacteria
Description: partial 16S ribosomal RNA
Rfam family: Bacterial small subunit ribosomal RNA
Source: RNAcentral